RNAcentral lists this RNase P RNA (279 nucleotides) under Candidatus Altarchaeales archaeon. RNAcentral describes it as "Candidatus Altiarchaeales archaeon RNase P RNA component". It matches the Rfam family "Archaeal RNase P". Rfam says of the family: Ribonuclease P (RNase P) is a ubiquitous endoribonuclease, found in archaea, bacteria and eukarya as well as chloroplasts and mitochondria. Its best characterised activity is the generation of mature 5'-ends of tRNAs by cleaving the 5'-leader elements of precursor-tRNAs. The record is from RNAcentral. Lineage: Archaea; Nanobdellati; Candidatus Altarchaeota; Candidatus Altarchaeia; Candidatus Altarchaeales.
GGUAGUGGUCGAAGGGCUGCCACAACCUUUAUUAGAGGCUGUGAGGAAGUUCCAUCCACCACUUCAAAAACUACAAAAUUAGCGAAAGCUAAGGCAACAUUACAGAGACGAGAUGACUGCUGGUAGUCGAUAAUGAAGCUACGCUGAAGAUACCAGUAGUCUUGUGAAACGAAUGUUGCAGGGUGCAAGACCUUGAGUCGCUUAGACGAAUGCCCUACAGCCAGAGUCAACUAUGUUGGCAUUUUAAAGGCUGACAAAAGAUGGACUAUGGCCACUGCC